RNAcentral lists this ribosomal RNA (253 nucleotides) under uncultured bacterium. Its description in RNAcentral is "partial 16S ribosomal RNA". It matches the Rfam family "Bacterial small subunit ribosomal RNA", at positions 524 to 776 of the family's 1533-position model. The record is from RNAcentral.
UACGGAGGGGGCUAGCGUUGUUCGGAAUUACUGGGCGUAAAGCGCACGUAGGCGGCUUUGUAAGUUAGAGGUGAAAGCCCGGAGCUCAACUCCGGAACUGCCUUUAAGACUGCAUCGCUUGAACGUCGGAGAGGUAAGUGGAAUUCCGAGUGUAGAGGUGAAAUUCGUAGAUAUUCGCAAGAACACCAGUGGCGAAGGCGGCUCACUGGCCCGAUACUGACGCUGAGGCACGAAAGCGUGGGGAGCAAACAGG